RNAcentral lists this non-coding RNA (27 nucleotides) under Cricetulus griseus (Chinese hamster). Lineage: Eukaryota; Metazoa; Chordata; Mammalia; Rodentia; Cricetidae. The record is from RNAcentral.
CCGAGGGGUCACUGAGAAAACGGAAGG